Molecule: ribosomal RNA, 446 nt
Filed under: uncultured bacterium
Lineage: Bacteria
Description: bacterial SSU rRNA
Rfam family: Bacterial small subunit ribosomal RNA
Source: RNAcentral
UGCCAGACUCCUACGGGAGGCAGCAGUGGGGGAUAUUGCACAAUGGGGGAAACCCUGAUGCAGCGACGCCGCGUGUGGGAAGACGGUCCUCUGGAUUGUAAACCACUGUCCCCAGGGACGAAGAUGACGGUACCUGGGGAGGAAGCUCCGACUAACUCCGUGCCAGCAGCCGCGGUAAUACGGAGGAUGCGAGCGUUAUCCGGAUUUAUUGGGUUUAAAGGGUGCGUAGGCGGAUCGUUAAGUCAGUGGUCAAAUUGGGGGCCUCACCCCCUCCCCGCCAUUGAAACUGGCGCUCUUGAGUGGAAGAGAAGUAUGCGGAAUGCGUGGUGUAGCGGUGAAAUGCAUAGAUAUCACGCAGAACCCCGAUUGCGAAGGCAGCAUGCCGGCUUCCGACUGGCGCUGAAGCACGAAAGCGUGGGGAUCGAACAGGAUUAGAUACCCUGGUA